RNAcentral lists this ribosomal RNA (448 nucleotides) under uncultured bacterium. RNAcentral's name for it is "bacterial SSU rRNA". It matches the Rfam family "Bacterial small subunit ribosomal RNA", at positions 331 to 793 of the family's 1533-position model. The record is from RNAcentral.
CCAGACUCCUACGGGAGGCAGCAGUGGGGAAUAUUGGGCAGUGGGCGCAAGCCUGACCCAGCAACGCCGCGUGAAGGAAGAAGGCUUUCGGGUUGUAAACUUCUUUUCUUGGGGACGAAGAAAGUGACGGUACCCAAGGAAUAAGCCACGGCUAACUACGUGCCAGCAGCCGCGGUAAUACGUAGGUGGCAAGCGUUAUCCGGAUUUAUUGGGUGUAAAGGGCGUGUAGGCGGGAAUGCAAGUCAGAUGUGAAAACUAUGGGCUCAACCCAUAGCCUGCAUUUGAAACUGUAUUUCUUGAGUGCUGGAGAGGCAAUCGGAAUUCCGUGUGUAGCGGUGAAAUGCGUAGAUAUACGGAGGAACACCAGUGGCGAAGGUGGAUUGCUGGACAGUAACUGACGCUGAGGCACGAAGGCCAGGGGAGCGAAAGGGAUUAGAUACCCCUGUAU